GCUGCCUAAGCUUUUCUCGCCGGAAACAGGGCAGGGCUCUGGACGUGGCCAAGCACAGUCAGAGGGGGACCCGCAGCGUCACGGACGUCCUUUAGUGACGGAGCCUGCAGGAAGUCAGCCUUAAAAGAGAACUGACCCCUCGCUCUGACGGUCCUGGGUGCAGGGAAGGACUACUGAAGCUGUCACUUGAGAGCUGAUCGGCACCUCCAGACAGAACCACUCAGCGCAGGGGAGUGAGGGGCGCACACUUCACGUUAACAGAUAGAACGACCACAACCAUACUAACAAACCAAAAACCUGUGCACAGAAACAAGAUGAAGAAAACAUGUCAAGAUGUUAACCA
Molecule: non-coding RNA, 343 nt
Organism: Odocoileus virginianus texanus
Lineage: Eukaryota; Metazoa; Chordata; Mammalia; Artiodactyla; Cervidae
Source: RefSeq, a predicted model, not a curated record